AUCUAACCCAACCAGGCUGCCAUCGCACCCAGGAAGAGAAGACAGCAAGAAAACCUCACUUUGACACCCUAUGAUUCCAUCUCCCACCUAACUAAUCAGCACUCCCUACUUCCUAAGCCCCUACCGGCCAAAUUAUCUUUAAACAUUCUGAUUUCUGAAUGCUCGGGGAGACUGAUUUAAGUAAUAACAAAACUCUCAUCACCCACACAGCCGGCUGUGAGUCAAUUACUGUUUCCUGAUUGCAAUUCCCCUACCCUGAUAAAUCAGCUCUGUCUAAGCAGUGGACAAGGUGAACCCAUUGGAUGGCAACAAAUCCUUAAUAGCAAACCAGAAGCUGAAAGAAAGGAACUAACUUCUUUCUGGGUCGAAGACAUCUGGAAAACAUAGGAUCUCCUUCAGUGUCUUUAGCACCAGAUCCUGUGAUUCAAACUACACACAACCAAUAAGAAAAAGAAUUCAACAUGCGUGCUACCGGUUCACCUCCUUUCUUGUGUUUAUUACACAUCAAUAAAUCAAGUGUUUACUGAGAUCCUACUCUCAAGUUCCUAGUCAGAAAAGGAAUCACCUGCCGUAGGUAACAGCCUGUGUUCUUUCCUACAGCAUUGAAAAGAGCCUCAGACUAAAAAAUGAAAGGAAAUUGUGUAUUUCUUUAUUGUAAAGGGCAGAAACGUGCAAUUACAGAUUGUGAAACUGCUGC
Molecule: long non-coding RNA, 697 nt
Filed under: Homo sapiens (human)
Lineage: Eukaryota; Metazoa; Chordata; Mammalia; Primates; Hominidae
Description: HSALNT0180633
Source: RNAcentral